AGGGAAUGCCCGCGCCAGGCCCGCCCCUCUCCUCCCUAGCCCGCCUCCACUAGGCCCCGCCCCUCGCCAAGUCACUUAAGAAGUACGCGAAGGACUACACGCCCUGAAGGGGAGGGGGCACUCCUGGACCACGCCUGUCCCAGUCACGGGACCCCCCGCUCCGCAGCUGGGGACCCUAUGAAGUUGGCCCUGGGAGGCUGGAGUGCAGUGGCAUGAUCUCGGCUCACUGCAACCUCAGCCUCCCAGGUUCAAGAGAUUCUCCUACCUCAGCCUCCUGAGCAGCUGGGAUUACAGGCAUUCAGUGAUAGUUCUACAGAUGGGAGACACGGAUACCUAAACCGCUAGAGCUCGGGGAGGUUGCAGACAACGUGUUGCCUACGCCUCGACUCAUCUGAGAGUCACCUGUGCAAGACAGAGAGCUUCCUCCCAGUAGAGACUAAUAAAGCUUUUAAUAUUUAAAA
This is a long non-coding RNA of Macaca mulatta (Rhesus monkey), 461 nucleotides long. RefSeq lists it as uncharacterized. The record is from RefSeq and is a predicted model, not a curated record. NCBI's taxonomy places the organism in Eukaryota, Metazoa, Chordata, Mammalia, Primates, Cercopithecidae.